ACCAAGAGAAAUUCAGUUGAAGCAAACUUAAACCAAGUGAUGUCAAUAGAGGCCAAUUAUCACAGAUCUAACCCAAAUUGGACUAAAACAAACAAGUAUUCAAACGAUUCAACUCAUUCUUAGCUUCUGAAUAUUCAAAGAUUAUUUUAAAAUGAAAAAAUCUAGGAUCCCAAGUUGGACAAAAACAAACAAGUAUUCAAAGAUGAAUUUUCAGAAGUUUUUUUUAGCUAUUUUUGGAGUUUUUGAAUUAUCUCUUUUUUUUUCUUUUAGGGCAACCCUUAGGUUUUAACUUUGCAUUUGAGUCCUUCAUUUUUUAGCUUAUUGACCAAGGUUUUAGCACCAGAAUUAACUAGAAGCCCCUAUUAGAGGCGUCCUAUUUCAGUAGUUAAAAGAUGCCCUUAACCAAAUAGCCAAACUACCCUUAAUUCCAAACAGAUCAAAUAUGACAAUUCAUGAAACAAUGUAGAAAAUCAAAACUGUCACAUGAAUUAGACACACACACUCAUAGGAUUACCUAAUGGAUAAUUAACAAACUUAACCUAAGUUGAACAAUAAACUACUGGACCUAAUUUAAACCCAAAAAUUACACGUAGAAGUCAUUCAACAGAAAAGAUCAUUACAAUCCGAACUGAUUAAACAAAUAAAAUUCAACUAACACAAAUUAAUUAUUCAACUCAAGUAUUAUCCAAAUAAGACUGACACCACUUGACUAUUAUGCACGAAAUCUAAUUCAAACUCAGGAACUUAAUUAUGAAAUCCAACUCAAUAAAAAUCCUACUACAACUCAAAUUAAUCUUAACUAUACUCAGGAAUUAAAAGAGAUGGAAUUCAAGCAAGACUGAAUAACUUGACUGAAAUCAUGAAAUGUAACUUCAACAGAGAAGACUAAAAAUAAUUAAACUCAUGAUCUUCAAACCAAUCAGACUAAAACAAAUUUGACAGGAAAGCCAAACUAAUAGAAACGACUAAUACAAUUUAAUUAGAUCAAACUAAAUCUAAUCUGAC
This 1005-nucleotide long non-coding RNA is filed under the name Nicotiana benthamiana. RNAcentral's name for it is "long non-coding RNA (NBEN_LNC015298)". The record is from RNAcentral. Lineage: Eukaryota; Viridiplantae; Streptophyta; Magnoliopsida; Solanales; Solanaceae.